UUAAAAACGAUGACGGAGAAAAGUAGCUUGAAGAUGGCCAUUCAGGGAGAAAAUGCCAAUGACUGAAAGCAUUUUUAUGGAACAGACGAGCGAAGUUCACCUCCAGAGUUGGCAUCGGGACCGCUUUUACAGAAGCGUAAAGAUGCAUCGGCACAAGCCGUUAUCCUAAUGAAGCGAACACGUGAUACAUAAUUGUAUUAUCUGUUAAAAAGGGUGGUACCGCGAUAACCUUAACCUCGUCCCUUUA
Molecule: non-coding RNA, 247 nt
Filed under: Mesobacillus subterraneus
Lineage: Bacteria; Bacillati; Bacillota; Bacilli; Caryophanales; Bacillaceae
Description: Bacillus subterraneus T-box sequence
Rfam family: T-box leader
About the family: Uncharged tRNA acts as the effector for transcription antitermination of genes in the T-box leader family. T-boxes are found upstream of many aminoacyl-tRNA synthetase genes and some amino acid biosynthetic genes usually in Gram-positive bacteria.
Source: RNAcentral